GUAUGUGUGACUGGCUAAUAAUUCUAUUGCGUAGAUAAUGAGGUGGCCAGUAGCACUGGGAAUUAGCUGGGCUUGUGAGACAGACUUCCUUCAAAAUCUAAUUCUAGAAAAAGAAGAAUGGCACAAAUGUUAUGGGAGUAACCGAGCACUUUUCGUUCAGAUUUAAGACCCAUUUCAAGAGAUGGAACCAAUAACUGACACUUCUAAUGUGGUCAAGAACCUGGGACUAGAACCUGGAAGCAGCCUAGAUGCCCCCUCAACCGAAGAAUGGAUAGAGAAAAUGUGGCACAUUUACACAAUGGAGUACUACUCAGCAGAAAAAAACAAUGGAAUCUUGAAAUUUGUAGACAAAUGGAUGAAACUAGAAGAAACCAUUCUGAUCGAGAGCCUUCAUCCAGCAGCUGAUGGAAGUAGAAGCAGACA
RNAcentral lists this long non-coding RNA (423 nucleotides) under Cricetulus griseus (Chinese hamster). Its description in RNAcentral is "lncRNA (ENSCGRG00015039164.1)". The record is from RNAcentral. Lineage: Eukaryota; Metazoa; Chordata; Mammalia; Rodentia; Cricetidae.